CGGCGUGCCUAAUACAUGCAAGUUGAACGACAACAAAGACACCAGAGCUUGCUCUACCGUUUUUGUUGAGUAGCGAACGGGUGAGUAACGCGUGGGUAACCUGCCUUAUAGCGGGGGAUAACUAUUGGAAACGAUAGCUAAUACCGCAUAACAAUAGAGAUUGCAUAAUCUUUAUUUGAAAGUGCCAACUGGUACACUAUGAGAUGGACCCGCGUUGUAUUAGCUAGUUGGUAGUGUAAUGGACUACCAAGGCGAUGAUACAUAGCCGACCUGAGAGGGUGAUCGGCCACAUUGGGACUGAGACACGGCCCAAACUCCUACGGGAGGCAGCAGUAGGGAAUCUUCGGCAAUGGACGAAAGUCUGACCGAGCAACGCCGCGUGAGUGAAGAAGGUUUUCGGAUCGUAAAACUCUGUUGUUAGAGAAGAAUGUUGAUUAGAGUGGAAAAUUAAUCAAGUGACGGUAUCUAACCAGAAAGGGACGGCUAACUACGUG
RNAcentral lists this ribosomal RNA (494 nucleotides) under uncultured bacterium. Its description in RNAcentral is "bacterial SSU rRNA". It matches the Rfam family "Bacterial small subunit ribosomal RNA", at positions 40 to 507 of the family's 1533-position model. The record is from RNAcentral.